CAGCAGCCGCCGCGGUAAUACGAAGGGUGCAAGCGUUAAUCGGAAUUACUGGGCGUAAAGCGUGCGUAGGCGGUUUGUUAAGUCUGUUGUGAAAUCCCCGGGCUCAACCUGGGAAUGGCAAUGGAUACUGGCAAGCUAGAGUGUGUCAGAGGAUGGUGGAAUUCCCGGUGUAGCGGUGAAAUGCGUAGAGAUCGGGAGGAACAUCAGUGGCGAAGGCGGCCAUCUGGGACAACACUGACGCUGAGGCACGAAAGCGUGGGGAGCAAACAGGAUUAGAUACCCCAGUAGUCCCUGUCUCUUAUAC
Molecule: ribosomal RNA, 304 nt
Filed under: uncultured bacterium
Lineage: Bacteria
Description: partial 16S ribosomal RNA
Rfam family: Bacterial small subunit ribosomal RNA
Source: RNAcentral